Molecule: ribosomal RNA, 491 nt
Filed under: uncultured fungus
Lineage: Eukaryota; Fungi
Description: eukaryotic LSU rRNA
Rfam family: 5.8S ribosomal RNA (bases 148-301)
Source: RNAcentral
CAAACUCUCCAACCAUGUUUAUCUACCAUUUUGCUCUCCGGCAGGCGGUUCCAGGGAGGGACCGAGCCUAUGGCCUAGCCUAAGCACCUGCCGAAGGGGUAUUUACUGCUCUAUAUUAUACUGUCUGAGAAACAAAAAAAUAAUCAAAAUUUUCAAUUGUGGAUCUCUUGGUUCUGGCAUCGAUGAAGAACGCAGCGAAAUGCGAUAAGUAAUGUGAAUUGCAGAAUUCAGCGAACCAUCGAAUCUUUGAACGCACAUUGCGCCCAUUAGUAUUCUAUUGGGCAUGCCUGUUCGAGCGUCAUUUCAACCCUCAGGCUUCGGUCUGGUGCUAGGGCAUUGCACUGCAAGUCCUGAAAAAUAGUGGCGGACUCACUGAAAUCCGAGCGUAGUAAUUUCUCUUGCUAUGGACUUUUGGUGAUGCUCCUGCCGUAAAACCCCCCCUAUAUUACAAGGUUGACCUCGGAUCAGGUAGGAAUACCCGCUGAACUUAA